RNAcentral lists this ribosomal RNA (253 nucleotides) under uncultured bacterium. RNAcentral describes it as "partial 16S ribosomal RNA". It matches the Rfam family "Bacterial small subunit ribosomal RNA", at positions 524 to 776 of the family's 1533-position model. The record is from RNAcentral.
UACGUAGGGCGCGAGCGUUGUCCGGAAUUACUGGGCGUAAAGCGUGCGUAGACGGUUCCGUAAGUCGGGUGUGAAAGCCCCGGGCUCAACCUGGGAAUUGCAUUCGAGACUGCGAAGCUAGGGUGCGGAAGAGGGAAGCGGAAUUUCUGGUGUAGCGGUGAAAUGCGUAGAUAUCAGAAGGAACAUCAGUGGCGAAAGCGGCUUCCUGGUCCAGCGCCGACGUUCAGGCACGAAAGCGUGGGGAGCAAACAGG